AACUUUUUGGUAACAAUUUAGACAUUUUAAGUACAAAUAAUAUACUUUUUUUUUUCUUUUUUUUCCCCAGAUGUGGUUGCAUCAAACAGAUCUAUUUCUGCAGCCAGUCCUAGGAUCUUACAAAGGUCAUGUUUCUUCUCUUAUUUUGAAGAAUCCUGACAUAGUUGAGAUUAGAAGAGCUUUAACAGAGGAGGCUGGAAGAGGCUUGGCCUGAGUGACUACUGAAAGGAUACCUGAAAGGGAGGAAGCUGGAAUACUUUGUUGUACUGUGGAGGAAUAUGAAAUGAGUUUGUUAUGGAAAGAUCAGAAUCCUUAACCUACUGGAUUUUGACAUGCUGUUUGAAACAUAGACUCGCAGUGCUGCCCUUUGGAAAAACUGAACCUUAGCGUAAGUGUACUGAACAUGCACAAAGUUUGUUUUUCUAGGGUGAAUAAACAGCAACAUUGUUACA
This 452-nucleotide long non-coding RNA is filed under the name Anser brachyrhynchus (Pink-footed goose). RNAcentral describes it as "lncRNA (ENSABRG00000006081.1)". Lineage: Eukaryota; Metazoa; Chordata; Aves; Anseriformes; Anatidae. The record is from RNAcentral.